This 251-nucleotide ribosomal RNA is filed under the name uncultured bacterium. RNAcentral's name for it is "partial 16S ribosomal RNA". It matches the Rfam family "Bacterial small subunit ribosomal RNA", at positions 524 to 776 of the family's 1533-position model. The record is from RNAcentral.
UACAGAGGUCCCAAGCGUUGUUCGGAUUCAUUGGGCGUAAAGGGUGCGUAGGCGGCGCGGUAAGUCGGGUGUGAAAUCUCGGGGCUUAACUCCGAAACUGCAUUCGAUACUGCCGUGCUUGAGGACUGGAGAGGAGACUGGAAUUUACGGUGUAGCGGUGAAAUGCGUAGAUAUCGAGAGGAAGACCAGUGGCGAAGGCGGAUCUCUGGACAGCUACUGACACUGAGCACGAAGGCCAGGGAGCAAACGGG